Molecule: long non-coding RNA, 1011 nt
Organism: Aethalodelphis obliquidens (Pacific white-sided dolphin)
Lineage: Eukaryota; Metazoa; Chordata; Mammalia; Artiodactyla; Delphinidae
Exons: 3
Source: RefSeq, a predicted model, not a curated record
AUUUCUGUUGUUUGAUAAGAAUUCCUAUGGGUGGAAUUGCUGAGUCAGGGACUCCCUCAGGAGGAUUAUCAAUGGAGCACUAAGGAGAAUGCAAUAGACUCUUCCUGAGGAGACCAAGGGCCAGAAGGGACCUGUGGAAUCAUCUAAGCCCUGGCUUUGGAGAUGGGGAAACCAAGGCCCCCAAAGACUCAGAGCACUCACUUCAAUAAUCUUUAACUGAACCUCAGAAGUGUCUCAUACACAGUGAUUCAGCCAGUUCAGGGCACAGUUGAACAUACCGUAAAUAUUGACACCUAGUACAAUUGGCUGCACAGCGCGGCUUGUGGGAUCUUAGUUCCCUGACCAGGAAUCGAACCCGCGCCCCCUGCAGUGGAAGCACCGGAAGCCUGUAGUCUUAACCACUGGACCGCCAGGGAAGCCCCCCACCUAGUACAAUUCGUAUCCUCCUCACCCUGUGUACAAACUCGGAAAUUAAGAUCACUGAUCACAUCCCAGCCCAGUCAAGGCCAGGUGUGUGCUAGAGUUGGCUCCUACUGGCUCUCAAGCCUCUCUCUCCAAAGUAUUAUAAUUCUCUAUGGUCCACCAAAACACCCAUUCCCAAAUCCAUCAUAGCCCCGUCGGUACUACUCAAAGAGCCAGCAAAUGUUUGCCUGAAUGCUUGCUGUGUGCCAGGCCCCUGUCUGAGCACGUAUCACAGUGAGAUAGUUAUCAUUUCCAUCAUACAGCUGAGGAAACUGAGACUCAGAGACUUUAUUUUUUUUUCUUCUCAUUUUUUAUUCAGUCAACAAUAUUUAAGAGGAAUCCAAGAUAUAAAAGGCACUUUGCAGGAUGCUACCAAGGUGAGUCAGUCAAGGACUCUGCUCUCAAAUUUCACAAGGUGAGAGAUAGAGAACAAUGAAACAAGAAGGAAAGGGAUGGGCAAAAUGUGAGAUGAGAAGGCAAAAGAUGGGGCUGUACUCCCAUGGGGCAUAGUCAGGGAACAAUUCCUGGACGCAGUGACAUUGGAAGUAG